ACUCAAAUGAAUUGACGGGGGCCCGCACAAGCGGUGGAGCAUGUGGUUUAAUUCGACGCAACGCGAAGAACCUUACCUAGGCUUGAACUGUUGGUAGUAGAAGGAAUGAAAGUUUCGACGAACCGUCAAGUCGGUUGCCAAUAGAGGUGCUGCAUGGCUGUCGUCAGCUCGUGUCGUGAGAUGUUGGGUUAAGUCCCGCAACGAGCGCAACCCUUAUCCUAUGUUGCCAGGCCCGCAAGGGCGGAACUCUUAGGAAACUGCCUCGGAUAACGGGGAGGAAGGUGGGGAUGACGUCAAGUCACCAUGGCCUUUAUGUCUAGGGCUACACACGUGCUACAAUGGCCGGUACAGCGAGCAGCAAAUCCGCAAGGACGAGCAAAUCUCUUAAAGCCGGCCCCAGUUCAGAUAGUGGGCUGCAAUUCGCCCACUUGAAGGUGGAAUCGCUAGUAAUCGGAGAUCAGCUGGCUCCGGUGAAUACGUUCCCGGGCCUUGCACACACCGCCCGU
Molecule: ribosomal RNA, 506 nt
Filed under: uncultured bacterium
Lineage: Bacteria
Description: partial 16S ribosomal RNA
Rfam family: Bacterial small subunit ribosomal RNA
Source: RNAcentral